CGAUAGCGAACAAGUACCGUGAGGGAAAGUUGAAAAGCACUCUGGAGAGAGAGUCAAAAGACCGUGAAACCGCUCAGAGUAUAAGCCCAUGGCAGCUUGGAAGGCAUAUCGCUAGCGGGGCAUCGGAAACCGACCCUUCACGGGGGAGGGGAACUGGUGUUACCUUGCUUUUGUUGUGGCUCGUCACGGUAGGGGGGUCAAGUCCACAUCCCGCCGGCGAGUGGAGAGUUCUCGGGUGCGUUGAUGCUUGGCGGUUGACCUCGGUUGAUCGUUGGGCUCUUCGUGCUCGGUUCUCUUUGGACACGGACGUUCAGACUCAAUUGCAAGACGCGAUAACCAGCCCACCACGGCACGUUGUGAGGUCACCCACAGGCUCGACUUUCGAUCGUGGUCCUUGACGCCGAGCAAGCACAAUGCGUGUCGCGGAUGUUCCUUACCAGGCAGCCCUCCGCCAGGAUCGUGGAACGACACGCGCUCAAUAGUCAGGACCAGGCGAUGACAGAGUUCUGGUAUGAUCCUCUUGCGACGAGCCGGCUUCUGGCCAAAUUCCGAUGCACAGUUCUCCCGCAUGUGCCGCGGGAGAUCGAGUCGACGGUCUGGAGCUUGUACAAGUCCUCUCAGUCGGGCAACGGAAAGAGUGGUGUAAAGUCCAAGCCCAUCGGUC
This 664-nucleotide ribosomal RNA is filed under the name Gammarus koreanus. RNAcentral describes it as "eukaryotic LSU rRNA". The stretch from base 1 to 77 matches the Rfam family "Archaeal large subunit ribosomal RNA", at positions 477 to 553 of the family's 2987-position model. The record is from RNAcentral. Lineage: Eukaryota; Metazoa; Arthropoda; Malacostraca; Amphipoda; Gammaridae.